CCUUUGACGUUAGCGGCGGACGGGUGAGUAACACGUGGGUAACCUACCUAUAAGACUGGGAUAACUUCGGGAAACCGGAGCUAAUACCGGAUAAUAUUUCGAACCGCAUGGUUCGAUAGUGAAAGAUGGUUUUGCUAUCACUUAUAGAUGGACCUGCGCCGUAUUAGCUAGUUGGUAAGGUAACGGCUUACCAAGGCGACGAUACGUAGCCGACCUGAGAGGGUUAUCGGCCACACUGGAACUGAGACACGGUCCAGACUCCUACGGGAGGCAGCAGGC
This 279-nucleotide ribosomal RNA is filed under the name uncultured Staphylococcus sp. Its description in RNAcentral is "partial 16S ribosomal RNA". It matches the Rfam family "Bacterial small subunit ribosomal RNA", at positions 83 to 354 of the family's 1533-position model. The record is from RNAcentral. Lineage: Bacteria; Bacillati; Bacillota; Bacilli; Caryophanales; Staphylococcaceae.